This 492-nucleotide ribosomal RNA is filed under the name uncultured bacterium. Its description in RNAcentral is "partial 16S ribosomal RNA". It matches the Rfam family "Bacterial small subunit ribosomal RNA", at positions 29 to 507 of the family's 1533-position model. The record is from RNAcentral.
AGUGAACGCUGGCGGUAGGCCUAACACAUGCAAGUCGAACGGCAGCACAGUAAGAGCUUGCUCUUACGGGUGGCGAGUGGCGGACGGGUGAGGAAUACAUCGGAAUCUACUUUUUCGUGGGGGAUAACGUAGGGAAACUUACGCUAAUACCGCAUACGACCUACGGGUGAAAGCAGGGGAUCUUCGGACCUUGCGCGACUGAAUGAGCCGAUGUCGGAUUAGCUAGUUGGCGGGGUAAAGGCCCACCAAGGCGACGAUCCGUAGCUGGUCUGAGAGGAUGAUCAGCCACACUGGAGCUGAGACACGAUCCCGACUCCUACGGGAGGCAGCAGUGGGGAAUAUUGGACAAUGGGCGCAAGCCUGGUCCAGCCAUACCGCGUGGGUGAAGAAGGCCUUCGGGUUGUAAAGCCCUUUUGUUGGGAAAGAAAAGCAGCAGGUUAAUACCCCGCUGUUCUGACGGUACCCAAAGAAUAAGCACCGGCUAACUUCGUG